RNAcentral lists this ribosomal RNA (747 nucleotides) under uncultured bacterium. RNAcentral describes it as "bacterial SSU rRNA". It matches the Rfam family "Bacterial small subunit ribosomal RNA", at positions 8 to 796 of the family's 1533-position model. The record is from RNAcentral.
AGAGUUUGAUCCUGGCUCAGGAUGAACGCUGGCGGUCUGCUUAACACAUGCAAAGUCGAACGGAACUUUUCGGAGUUCAGUGGCGGACGGGUGAGUAACGCGUGAGAAUCUGCCUUCUGGUCGGGGACAACCACUGGAAACGGUGGCUAAUACCGGAUGAGCCUACGGGUAAAAGAUUUAUUGCCAGAAGAGGAGCUCGCGUCUGAUUAGCUAGUUGGUGAGGUAAAGGCUCACCAAGGCAUCGAUCAGUAGCUGGUCUGAGAGGAUGACCAGCCACACUGGGACUGAGACACGGCCCAGACUCCUACGGGAGGCAGCAGUGGGGAAUUUUCCGCAAUGGGCGAAAGCCUGACGGAGCAAGACCGCGUGAGGGAGGAAGGCUCUUGGGUUGUAAACCUCUUUUCUUGGGGAAGAAAAAAAUGACGGUACCCAAGGAAUCAGCAUCGGCUAACUCCGUGCCAGCAGCCGCGGUAAUACGGAGGAUGCAAGCGUUAUCCGGAAUUAUUGGGCGUAAAGCGUCCGCAGGUGGCACUUCAAGUCUGCUGUCAAAGGUCGGGGCUUAACCCCGGGAAGGCAGUGGAAACUGAAGCGCUAGAGUGUCGUAGGGGUAGAGGGAAUUCCCGGUGUAGCGGUGAAAUGCGUAGAGAUCGGGAAGAACAUCGGUGGCGAAAGCGCUCUACUGGACGACAACUGACACUCAGGGACGAAAGCUAGGGGAGCGAAUGGGAUUAGAUACCCUAGUAGUCC